CUGAGUCAGCGUGACUUUCAAAGGGCUGACCUGAAGGUAGCUGUAUCUAUCUCCCUGGAAAACUGGUGCCUCAGACCUGGGGGCCUGCUGCUUCCAGCGCACGGUGUGUGCACAGGGCGAAGGGUCUGUGAGGAGGGUAGGAACGGGCCAACAGUCAGUGUUCUCCCCAAGCUGAACCAAGCCACUGAACGUCGGUUGAGCUCCUCCUGUAUUCCAGGCCCCGUGUUACACACCAGCCUGCAGAGGUGAACAACAUGGAUGUCUGCCCUGGUGGAACUGGGGUAGUAAGUGAGCAGCGGUUAAAUAAAUCAGCUACUAACAAGGAAUCUGAACCGAGGAGGGCCUCUCGUCCAGCAGUGCCUCUUUGCCGCAGGCUGUGGACACCCAAGCAGAGGUGAGGUGCGGGUGACAUGGGUCAGCCUGGAGCGGGCCCCACACAGCAGCGCAAACCGGCAGCAACCACAGAAGCGGUGUUGCCUGUGGGCCCAAAGCAGCGAUGGUGCUGACUGCUCCUGAGGGGGCAGCCACUCCCAGAGGCUGGUCAGCACCAGUGUUUCAGAGGGUCAUGAGCACAGGAUGGAGAAUUCUGGGUGUCUCCACCAUCACGCAGGACGAACGUCACAGAUGAACCACACGCAGCUCGACUCUGCGUCCACCGUGGAAAUCGUCACGAGACAGAGGCGAAAACGUUAAUGGAGAAUCAACACUGAAAUCAAGUCGUUCAAACCCCAAUGCACAGGGGCAUCUGAUCACACCGAAAUCUGUGUCUGACGAGCACAGAGAACUGGUGCAUAUGAAGUCAGAGAGCAGGACCUUAUUAGGAGAUGAGAAAUAGAAACAACGAUUUCUUGAAGGCAUUGCUGAAAUGCUGAAAAACAACAUUACAAAGAAAGAGAUUUUAUCCAAGAAAUUUUCCGACAUUUAAGCUGCUGUGGUGUUUGUAUAAAUAAAGAAUUACUUCGACUCACUCCCAGAGCUCACAUUUUCAGUAAUAUGCUCACAUAUCUUCCAGGAGUCGUUGCUAAUGAAAGUCAAGCUGCAUUUAUGAAUAUGAAUUAUUCACACCGGCCUGUUGAUACACAAGAGCUAAUUUUCAAGAUACUGUGGGUAAACACCAUAAAGUUGUAUUAAAUAUUCAUAUAAUCACUGUGAUAAUUAAUCCAUAAAGCAAUUAUAAUUAAAAUGAAAGUAUCUUGUCUUAUAAAUAACCAAGUAAAAUAGAACUUUAAAAGAUAAAAGGGCAUCACUCCACGUUUAUAUCUGUUAGCCCACUGUGAAGGGUUCAAUGAACCGUCUCUACCGUAUUCAUGUGUCCAGUCAGUGUCACUGAGCCACGGGACACGCUCUGAGAAAUGUGUCGUUCGGUGAUGCCGUCCUUGUGCUCACGCAAUCCUAGGCUGUCUAGCCUGCUGCUCGGCCAGGCUCCACGGUGCUGAUCUUACGGGACCAGCAUCGUACAUGCGGUCCCUCGCUGACCAAGACAUCAUGAUGCAGCACAUGAGUAUCAUUGCUUUUCAAGAAGCAAAGUCAGAGUGUGUUUCUCCAGGAGAGGAGACUUUAUGAGAAGAAAAUGAGGGCCAGUCCUGAGGUAGAGGAGAAGCCUUUCCACAAUUAAGCAGCUGAACGGUCACUGUCCAGAUGCUGCCAGUUUCAUUUUUAUUGGACGCUGCGUGAGCGUAAUUGUGAGUCCAAGACAAAGCAGAGACCGCAAAAGAGAAAUACGGCAUGGACAUCAUAACUUCCCAUCAGUGCGUUUGCAAACCAUUCCUCUCCAUGUUUGAAAUGCACUCGUGCAGAAGCUGAGCAGGUCCCAGGGUCGCGCCCGGCUGCCCUGGAGGAAGGAGGGUAGAGGACGACGGAGGUAAAUCGUUAGAUUAAUCCAGCGAGAAGGACGUGGGACGUGGAGCAACAGAGCGCUCGAGUCUGGUUAAUUCCAAGAUGUCCUACUGACUCUUCGUGUUUCCUGGGUUCCCUGUAAUGUUGAAGUGUCCAUGUUUCCAAAAACCCAUGUCUUCAAACAGUGACUAUGGAAGGAACUUAAAGUGAACCGUGCAUUUGAACUUUCCAAAAGAGUCUCAGAGAGCAGAGGCGGGCCCUCGUCGAGGCGAGACAGGCAGAUCUGUGAAUUAACUGUUCAGAGAUUGAAGUGGGUACCGAGGAUCCCUGGACUUCCCCCAUUUCUUCCUCCUUAGUUGGCACAUCGUUCACCAAGCUGCUGGAGCCAGAAACCUGAACUCAUGCUCUGCCUCUCCUUCCCUCCCCCACAACGCCUGGGACCCCAUGUUUGCUGGCAGGCCCAUUUCCCAGCUCUCUCCAGGGGUCCUGCUGCAUCCACGGACACGGUUCUGAGUCCCAACCAGGGACAUGACUGAGCGUCCCUGACCGGGAGGCCAUCUCAAGACUUUAUCUCGGCCUGCUUCAAACUGCCUCCCCAUAUGCAGCCAGAGCCACCUCAGAGAACCAACACCUGCUCCCACGGCUGAGCGGUGAUCCCCCUUUCCCCCGCCUCCCGUCUCCUGAGACCCUCAGAGGUGAGCCCCUUUCCCCGCCUCCCGUCUCCUGAGACCCUCAGAGGUGAGCCCCUUUCCCUGCCUCCUGUCUCCUGAGACGCUCAGUGGUAUACAGGUUGUUAAACAUCUCUCCUGUUGGAAAGAUGACGGUGGAGUGGGAGAGCGGGAGAGAAAGAGAGAGACGGAGAGAUGGAGGGAGAGGGGAGUGACAGGCAGAGAGAUGGAGGGACUGCGAAAGAGACAGACACAGAGGGCAGGAGCCGAGAGGCUGUGACAUGUGGGAGUCAGAAAUGGAACGCAGUGAUGACAGGUGACAUUUCUUGAGCAACUGUUGUGCACCAAAUACUGCCAGGCACCCGCUUCCAUACUGCUCAAUUCUCUGCACAAUCCACUGAAACGCAUCUUGGAAGCGGUGUGGUUGAGGCUGAAUAAAGAGCGUUGACUCUGGGUCCACGUUCCGGCUGCUGUGAUCUGCACUGUGGGCUCACGGACACCCUGUGGAGACCUCACCUACUGAAUCAAGUACGGUUUGUCAAGGCCUAACCCAAAGGAACAGGUGCUGCCGAAGUUUGCACCCUUGUCAGAGUUCUUCUCCUUUAGAGAUGGAGUUGGACUCACAGUCGUCUCUGGAACGUGACGAGCAUCCGGCGGGAAGUGGCUGUGUGGGCUGAGAACUAACUACCCACACCCUGGGAGCCGGGUACGUCUCUCACGGCUGCUUCGGGAGGUGAUUGUUGGGGGUGCUUGACUUCACGAUCCCAUUUCCUACGUGACAACAAAACGAG
This is a long non-coding RNA of Equus caballus (horse), 3295 nucleotides long. The record is from Ensembl. Lineage: Eukaryota; Metazoa; Chordata; Mammalia; Perissodactyla; Equidae.